Pan troglodytes (chimpanzee) is the source of this 408-nucleotide long non-coding RNA. RefSeq lists it as uncharacterized. The transcript is spliced from 2 exons. The record is from RefSeq and is a predicted model, not a curated record. Lineage: Eukaryota; Metazoa; Chordata; Mammalia; Primates; Hominidae.
AUGCUGGCAAUUCAGAUCUACCAAAGAGAAGCCAUCAAGUUCUUAUUUUAACUGAAAAGGGGAAAGUUCUCUACUUAAGAAAGAAAAAAUAUAUGCCGCGUUUGCCAAGAUCUACAAUUAUUCCGAAAAUGUGAUCAUUCUAAUGUCUUCAAAUAUGAAUGCAUUUGGAAGGUUGCUUGCUAGAAACACAGCUGGAAAACUGGAAAGAAAGCACUCCCUCGUUACUUCAGUUAUCCUACGUGGCAAGAGAAGAAAGGGUCAGUUUCACAAAAUGUGACUGAUUUAUUUUGUCCCACCUUAGAGCUAUCUACAAUCAGCAGGGAAAAGCAGGGGUUGAAAGGUGACACUAUCAUACAAAACUUCCUAACAUAAUCUUUUCUGACUUCAAAAUAAAAACAUAUAACUUUA